Coffea eugenioides is the source of this 158-nucleotide small nucleolar RNA. RefSeq annotates it as small nucleolar RNA snoR138. NCBI's taxonomy places the organism in Eukaryota, Viridiplantae, Streptophyta, Magnoliopsida, Gentianales, Rubiaceae. The record is from RefSeq and is a predicted model, not a curated record. The transcript has a single exon.
GUCGCCUCUUGAAUAACCGGAAGGUGCUGCAACUGCACACAAGCUGUUCGGUUCAGACAGAGGCGCAUAAGAAGAGAGACUUGAGUCUUUCCGUGAAUCAGUUUGAGGGUAGGGAACAUUUUUUGUCCUGUUCCUUUCCUAGAUAGAUUCAAACAUUU